Molecule: ribosomal RNA, 253 nt
Filed under: uncultured bacterium
Lineage: Bacteria
Description: partial 16S ribosomal RNA
Rfam family: Bacterial small subunit ribosomal RNA
Source: RNAcentral
CACGUAGGGCGCGAGCGUUGUCCGGAAUUAUUGGGCGUAAAGAGCUCGUAGGCGGCCUGUUGCGUCCGCUGUGAAAGCCCGGGGCUUAACCCCGGGUCGGCAGUGGAUACGGGCAGGCUAGAGGUAGGUAGGGGAGAAUGGAAUUCCCGGUGUAGCGGUGAAAUGCGCAGAUAUCGGGAGGAACACCGGUGGCGAAGGCGGUUCUCUGGGCCUGUUCUGACGCUGAGGAGCGAAAGCGUGAGGAGCGAACAGG